AUUGUCGCGAGGCAGGGUCUGAAAGAAGCCGAACCCAAAGCUGCGGGGCGAUGAACAAGAACCGGAUAUGAGGCGUGAUACAUCCGGGGCGAGCGGGCACGUGACCGCGAAGCCCUCCAUCUACGAUCGGGGUGUAUUUUGUAAAUUCGGCGUUCGCGCAGCGAAAGAAACGUGU
Methylomonas methanica MC09 is the source of this 175-nucleotide non-coding RNA. The record is from Rfam. Lineage: Bacteria; Pseudomonadati; Pseudomonadota; Gammaproteobacteria; Methylococcales; Methylococcaceae.